AGGGGGACUUCACACGGAGGAAUGAGGGGUGGGAUGCAGUGACAUCACAAGGGUCCCAUUAUGACCCCUCCUCCAUCAGCUAAGGGGGGAUGGGCUGAGCCUGAACAGAGGGAGAGGGGAGUAAAUAAGGGGCUGUUGCCAGAGCCUGAGCCCACCAGAGAAAGUCUGUGUGCAGAGGGAGGGCCUCAGGUCCUGCUGCUCCUUCAUCUUGACCCCUUCACACCCUCCUCUAACAGGGACCUCGACCUCCCUUCUCCACUCUCCUGGAUCCUGCUCAGUGUGGUGCAGGCCUUCUCUGGGGCCCUGGAGUUCCCACUGACCUUCAGCCCCGCCAGUUGCAUCUGCUGUUCCCACUGAAGGUUAGUGGACAGGGUGGAGGUGGCUAAAGGUGGAAAAGAUACUUUGUGAGAGGGGGACCCCAACACGAGGACAGGGCACUGACGGAGCCUUUACCAAAAUGCUGGGAAAGGUCUCCCCACCAUCCACAUAUUCUCUCCCAGGCCUCAAAGGGCCCUCCCCAGUCUCCAGCUGUCAGCUUUCCCACCUCCACCUUCUCUCCUCCUUUCGGUUCUGCUUCUGAAUUUCUUCAAAAAUUCUCCUGCAUCAAGACUCUCAUGCUAGUCAGUUCCUGCCUGGGGUCACCAGACUGCUUCGAAGUCAGGAAGAACAUGGUGGGGACGGUGACUUGAGUUUCCUGGACCACAGUGCAGGUGAGAAAUGCACCCCUUUCAAUUACGACAGCUGCUUCCAGAAGAUAGGGGCUGUGGUGAGAACAGAACUUCCUUUGCUGCGACAUGAACUGCUUCCUCAGAUGAUGGCUGGAUUCCUGUGAAUGUGGAUAAAGCAUUCUGUCAGUCCACAGAUGGUGUUGCUGGCAGAAGCAUUACAGGCAAGGCAGGCAGCUCCAUCAUACUCCAGGGUCACCCCUGUAAUGCUGAGGCUGUCCACUUUUGUGUA
RNAcentral lists this long non-coding RNA (957 nucleotides) under Homo sapiens (human). Its description in RNAcentral is "non-protein coding lnc-C20orf196-3:6". Lineage: Eukaryota; Metazoa; Chordata; Mammalia; Primates; Hominidae. The record is from RNAcentral.